This 933-nucleotide non-coding RNA is filed under the name Amolops granulosus (granular torrent frog). RNAcentral's name for it is "12S ribosomal RNA". It matches the Rfam family "Bacterial small subunit ribosomal RNA". Lineage: Eukaryota; Metazoa; Chordata; Amphibia; Anura; Ranidae. The record is from RNAcentral.
CAAAAGUUUGGUCCUAGCUUUGCUAUCAACUAUUCCUCAGCUUACACAUGCAAGUCUCAGCACACCCGUGAGAAAGCCCUUUUAACCUUCACCAGGCCAAGGAGCCGGCAUCAGGCACAACCCAAUUGCCCACGACACCUAGUCUCACCACACCCCCAAGGGUAACCAGCAGUGAUAAAUUUUGUGCAUAAGCGACAGCUUGACUCAGCCAGAGAAAAGAGGGCCGGCUAACCCGGUGCCAGCCGCCGCGGCUACACCCUGGGGGCUCAAGUUGAUAACCACCGGCGUUAAGCGUGAUUAAAGCUUACACAAGUUAGGGUUGAAUUAAUACUUAGUAGUGAUAAGCUUGUUAUUAAGAAAAACAUAAACGAAAGUUACCCUAAUUAUAAUACUUGAAUACACGACAGCUGAGAAGACAAACUAGGAUUAGAUACCCUACUAUGCUCAGCCGUAAACAAUUAAUUUACACCAAUCAGCGCCAGGGAAUUACGAGCCAUGCUUAAAACCCAAAGGACUUGACGGUGUCCCACCCCCCUAGAGGAGCCUGUUCUAUAAUCGAUGAUCCCCGCUAUACCCUACCAUUCCUCGCCUCAGUCUGUAUACCUCCGUCGAAAGCCUACCCUGUGAACGUCCAGUAGGCCCAAUGACCCCCCACCAACACGUCAGGUCAAGGUGCAGCUUACGGAAUGGGAAGUAAUGGGCUACAAUUUCUAGCAUAGAACAAACGAAAGACUAUGUGAAACCAUAGUCACGAAGGUGGAUCUAGUAGUAAAAAGAAAAUAGAGUGUUCUUUUUAACCCGGCUCUGGGACGCGUACACACCGCCCGUCACCCUCUUCGAUAGCUUUACUUCACGUUUAUAACCCUUUAUCCGCACCUUAGAAGAGGCAAGUCGUAACACGGUAAGUGUACUGGAAAGUGCACUUGGAUUACA